Long non-coding RNA from Felis catus (domestic cat), 926 nucleotides. RefSeq lists it as uncharacterized. The record is from RefSeq and is a predicted model, not a curated record. NCBI's taxonomy places the organism in Eukaryota, Metazoa, Chordata, Mammalia, Carnivora, Felidae. The transcript has 2 exons.
GCUUCACCCACUCUGGCCCCCCUAUCAGUGGCCCCCUCCUAGUCUUGCCUCCCAAUUCUCUCCCGUUUUGACUAGCCUGGUUCCUCAGGUGACAUUAACCGCUUCUUACCCCCUCAGAGGUACAGGGCCUGGAGACCAGAGCCCUAAAGAGAUGAACCCACGUCCCCUCCCACGGGGUCUCUGUCUGGCUCACGAUCCAAAUGGGAAUAGCUAUGGGGAGAAACAUGAUUUUGGGGACACUCUGAGCUCGCUGGCUCUCCUUCUUCUAGGUUCUUAGCUGCAAAGGGCCCAGGUGCCUAUGUCUUUCUGGGAGAACCAGAGAAGAUUUGGAUUACCUGGGGGUCUUGAACUGGGCCUUUAUCUUGGCGUGUUCUGAGCAGCUGUUUGUAUUCAUAACAGGUGCUGUCAGUCGUGACCUGACCUGAGCCAAACUGGUUCCUGUGCAACUCAGGUCCCUUUUGAUAGGUCAAGGUUGGGGUAAUCUGACAUGUUUUCACCCAAGCUUACUGUCGGAUGAAUGAAAGCCAUUUGUCCACCUGCACAGACUUCUAUUAGACAAACAUGCCAGGGCAAGCAGACCCUAAGCAGUUGCAACUCCUGUGUACUCUGAGGUCAACCUAACUCCCGCUCUGGGUUGUAUUGGGUGUCCUGACCGCCAUUUUGCAGACUGCCAAGAUUCCAGAUGCUGGGUCCUGUUAGCUUUCCUGCUGGCCUCAGGCGACCAGGAAUCUUUAUUGGGAGUGACCGGCCACAGAGCAGUUUCUGGAUCAAGCUAUGGUUCCAUCCCUAAGGAGCUGCGGGUGCUUGGAGACGAAGAAGAAAAGCGAACAUUGGAACUGUAACAAAAUUCGUCUUGUGACUUUGAGUAAGACAUUUACCUUGUUAAGCCUCAGUUUUCCCACAGAUUUAACAACUUGAUUUCAUGA